RNAcentral lists this unclassified non-coding RNA (682 nucleotides) under Planchonella clemensii. Its description in RNAcentral is "sequence contains 18S rRNA gene, ITS1, 5.8S rRNA gene, ITS2 and 28S rRNA gene". The stretch from base 306 to 461 matches the Rfam family "5.8S ribosomal RNA". Lineage: Eukaryota; Viridiplantae; Streptophyta; Magnoliopsida; Ericales; Sapotaceae. The record is from RNAcentral.
AGAAGUCGUAACAAGGUUUCCGUAGGUGAACCUGCGGAAGGAUCAUUGUCGAAACCUGCCAAGUAGAACGACCCGCGAACUAGUAUAUACAGCAGGCACGGGGGGCGUUUUGUGGCGGGCUUGAUUGCCUCCACUCUCCGGCCCUUGCCGGGUGCGCUGUUUGAAUAGCGUUCCUCGGCUAAAAACAAACCCCGACGCGAAUCGCGUCAAGGAACUCGAACAAGAGAAGAGAAGCGCGCCCCCCGGUUCUCGUUCGCGAGUGAAGCUUAUGGGGGGUAGCAGUCACAUCUUUUCACGAACAUAAUGACUCUCGGCAACGGAUAUCUCGGCUCUCGCAUCGAUGAAGAACGUAGCGAAAUGCGAUACUUGGUGUGAAUUGCAGAAUCCCGUGAACCNNNNNNNNNNNNNNNNNNAGUUGCGCCCGAAGCCAUUAGGCUGAGGGCACGUCUGCCUGGGCGUCUCACAUCGCGUCGCCCCUCGCCCUGUGCCCCAAAAAGGGUUCUUGGGUUGAUGGGGGCGGAUUUUUGGCCCCCCGUGUGCCCUCGUGCGCGGUCGGCCUAAAGAUGAGUCCCUGGCGACGAACGUCACGAUGAGUGGUGGAUUUGAUAACGUUACGUCACGUCGUGCACGUCUCGUCCCAAAGGGUUGUUUUGGUAAAUCGACCUUGAAAGCACCAUUUCCA